Long non-coding RNA from Pseudophryne corroboree (corroboree frog), 367 nucleotides. RefSeq lists it as uncharacterized. NCBI's taxonomy places the organism in Eukaryota, Metazoa, Chordata, Amphibia, Anura, Myobatrachidae. The transcript is spliced from 3 exons. The record is from RefSeq and is a predicted model, not a curated record.
GAAGCUCCUCCCCUCCAGGCUGGAACGAGGAGCUGCUCUGCUGCUGGCCUCUUGGAGAUCCAGGAGGAGAAGUCCACGGGGCAAGUGUGACUGCAUCAUCAUGAGUUUACUCUUAUCUGAACAAGAGGGAACAUACUUCAGUAAAAUCAGAAGGAUCUUGUGGGACGAUCCAUUACUUCUAAUUUAUGAGGCUGAUAUCUAUGGAUGACACAUGUUAUGUGGCUAAUUUUUGCUUGUUACAAAUCUAUACAGAGGUUCAUCUCCAAGGUGGAUUAUAGAAGAUAUCGCUUUUUCUGCUAUGUGGAGGUUCCGGCAAAUAUCCCCUUCCUCCAUAUUGUGCAGCUACUAUGACUUAUUGUUGCUUGUG